AAGCGCCCGUGGCCAGACCUGAGCCCGGCGGAUCAGCCAGCGUUCUCGCUGACGCACGCCGCCGGGCCCAGGCCAGCAUCGGCCUCCUUAGGGGGACAAAAGCCCCGGGAACGUAGCUCCUCCGGGAGUGUUAUAGCCCGCUGCAGAAUACCCUUAGGGGGGCCGAGGUUCGCGCUCCGCAAGGAUGCUGGCGUAAUGGCCACAGGCGG
Molecule: ribosomal RNA, 209 nt
Filed under: Sordariomycetidae sp.
Lineage: Eukaryota; Fungi; Ascomycota; Sordariomycetes
Description: partial large subunit ribosomal RNA
Source: RNAcentral